Molecule: ribosomal RNA, 467 nt
Filed under: uncultured bacterium
Lineage: Bacteria
Description: partial 16S ribosomal RNA
Rfam family: Bacterial small subunit ribosomal RNA
Source: RNAcentral
GACGAACGCUGGCGGCGUGCUUAACACAUGCAAGUCGAACGGAAAGGCCCUGCUUUUGUGGGUGCUCGAGGGGCGAACGGGUGAGUAACACGUGAGUAACCUGCCCUUGACUUUGGGAUAACUUCAGGAAACUGGGGCUAAUACCGGAUAGGAGCUCCUGCUGCAUGGGGGGGGGUGGAAAGUUUCGGCGGUUGGGGAUGGACUCGCGGCUUAUCAGCUUGUUGGUGGGGUAGUGGCUUACCAAGGCUUUGACGGGUAGCCGGCCUGAGAGGGUGACCGCCCACAUUGGGACUGAGAUACGGCCCAGACUCCUACGGGAGGCAGCAGUGGGGAAUAUUGCACAAUGGGCGGAAGCCUGAUGCAGCAACGCCGCGUGCGGGAUGACGGCCUUCGGGUUGUAAACCGCUUUCGCCUGUGACGAAGCGUGAGUGACGGUAAUGGGUAAAGAAGCACCGGCUAACUACGUG